AACGAACGCUGGCGGCGUGUUUAAGACAUGCAAGUCGCACGGGAUAAGACAUGUAGUAAUACUUGUUUUAUUUAGUGGCGCACGGGUGAGUAACACGUGAAUUACAUGCCCUAUAGUGGGGAAUAGCCCAGGGAAACUUGGAUUAAUACCCCAUGGUAUCGAAAGAUUAAAGGUGGCCGCAAGGCUGUCGCUAUAGGAUUGGUUCGCGCCCUAUCGGCUUGUUGGUGAGGUAACGGCUCACCAAGGCAAUGACGGGUACCUGGUCUGGGAGGACGAUCAGGCACACUGGAACUGAGACACGGUCCAGACACCUACGGGUGGCAGCAGUCGAGAAUAAUUCACAAUGGGGGCAACCCUGAUGGUGCAACGCCGCGUGGAGGAUGACGGUCUUCGGAUUGUAAACUCCUGUCAUCUGGGAGAAAGACCUGACGGUAAAUAGCCGGCAGGGUUGAUAGUACCAGAAGAGGAAGGGACGGCUAACUUCGUGCCAGCCGCCGCGGUAA
This 503-nucleotide ribosomal RNA is filed under the name uncultured bacterium. RNAcentral's name for it is "partial 16S ribosomal RNA". It matches the Rfam family "Bacterial small subunit ribosomal RNA", at positions 29 to 523 of the family's 1533-position model. The record is from RNAcentral.